RNAcentral lists this unclassified non-coding RNA (336 nucleotides) under soil metagenome. Its description in RNAcentral is "partial contains 5.8S ribosomal RNA, internal transcribed spacer 2, and large subunit ribosomal RNA". The stretch from base 1 to 120 matches the Rfam family "5.8S ribosomal RNA", at positions 35 to 154 of the family's 154-position model. The record is from RNAcentral.
GAUGAAGAACGCAGCGAAAUGCGAUAAGUAAUGUGAAUUGCAGAAUUCAGUGAAUCGUCGAAUCUUUGAACGCACAUUGCGCCCGCCAGUAUUCUGGCGGGCAUGCCUGUUCGAGCGUCAUUUCAACCAUCAAGCCCCCGGCUUGUGUUGGGGACCUGCGGCUGCCGCAGGCCCUGAAAAGCAGUGGCGGGCUCGCUGUCACACCGAGCGUAGUAGCAUACAUCUCGCUCUGGGCGUGCUGCGGGUUCCGGCCGUUAAACCACCUUCAUAACCCAAGGUUGACCUCGGAUCAGGUAGGAAGACCCGCUGAACUUAAGCAUAUCAAUAAGCGGAGGA